CCAUUGUGAUAUGCGUCAACCAGCUGGGUUCGUUGCAAUCAAAGUUCCACAUCAAGGCAUCAGCUGCAGAUAUUCGAGAAUUUGCGCACAGCAAAUCAAUAUAUCAUCCCUUUGAUUGCAAUGGACCUAAGUUGGUUGACACAUAUCACUCGG
This is a non-coding RNA of Marchantia polymorpha subsp. ruderalis, 153 nucleotides long. Lineage: Eukaryota; Viridiplantae; Streptophyta; Marchantiopsida; Marchantiales; Marchantiaceae. The record is from the annotation of a GenBank genome assembly.